GACGAACGCUGGCGGCGUGCUUAACACAUGCAAGUCGAACGGUAAGGCCCUUCGGGGUACACGAGUGGCGAACGGGUGAGUAACACGUGGGUGAUCUGCCCUGCACUUCGGGAUAAGUCUGGGAAACUGGGUCUAAUACCGGAUAGGACUCCUGGCUUCAUGGUUGGGGGUGGAAAGCUUUUGCGGUGUGGGAUGGGCCCGCGGCCUAUCAGCUUGUUGGUGGGGUAAUGGCCUACCAAGGCGACGACGGGUAGCCGGCCUGAGAGGGUGACCGGUCACACGGGGACUGAGAUACGGCCCAGACUCCGACGGGAGGCAGCAGUGGGGAAUAUUGCACAAUGGGCGCAAGCCUGAUGCAGCGACGCCGCGUGAGGGAUGACGGCCUUCGGGUUGUAAACCUCUUUCAGCUAUGACGAAGCGCAAGUGACGGUAGUAGCAGAAGAAGGACCGGCCAACUACGUGCCAGCCGCCGCCGUAA
RNAcentral lists this ribosomal RNA (478 nucleotides) under uncultured bacterium. RNAcentral describes it as "partial 16S ribosomal RNA". It matches the Rfam family "Bacterial small subunit ribosomal RNA", at positions 28 to 523 of the family's 1533-position model. The record is from RNAcentral.